CCUACGGGAGGCAGCAGUGAGGAAUAUUGGUCAAUGGGCGGAAGCCUGAACCAGCCAAGUAGCGUGCGGGAUGAAGGCCCUACGGGUCGUAAACCGCUUUUGCACGGGGAUAACACCCUCCACUUGUGGAGGUCUGCAGGUACCGUGCGAAUAAGGGCCGGCUAAUUCCGUGCCAGCAGCCGCGGUAAUACGGAAAGCCCGAGCGUUAUCCGGAUUCAUUGGGCUUAAAGGGUGCGUAGGCGGGCGUUCAAGUCAGCUGGAAAAUCGCGCGGCUCAACCGCGCCCCGCAGUUGAAACUGGACGACUAGAGUACACAACAGGCAGGCGGAAUUCGUGGUGUAGCGGUGAAAUGCAUAGAUAUCACGAGGAACCCCGAUUGCGAAGGCAGCCUGCCGGGGUGCGACUGACGCUGAGGCUCGAAGGUGCGGGUAUCAAACAGGAUUAGAUACCCCGGUAGUC
This 459-nucleotide ribosomal RNA is filed under the name uncultured bacterium. RNAcentral describes it as "partial 16S ribosomal RNA". It matches the Rfam family "Bacterial small subunit ribosomal RNA", at positions 338 to 795 of the family's 1533-position model. The record is from RNAcentral.